UCUUCGUAGGUGAACCUGCGGAGGGAUCAUUAUUGAAUGUUGGGAUUUGUGUUCUUGAAACAUUAGAACACGCCCACACUCUUUACCCACACACACUUGUGAACCUUUUUCUAACAUCUCUUUCGGGAGGUGUUGAAAAAACUCUAGUGAUUUUAAAACAGUCUAGGAUGUCAAUCCAAUUGAUAAAUUUAAAAACAACUAUAAACGGUGGAUCUCUUGGCUCUCGCAUCGAUGAAGAACGCAGC
This 245-nucleotide unclassified non-coding RNA is filed under the name uncultured fungus. RNAcentral describes it as "sequence contains ITS1, 5.8S rRNA gene". The stretch from base 197 to 245 matches the Rfam family "5.8S ribosomal RNA", at positions 1 to 49 of the family's 154-position model. The record is from RNAcentral. Lineage: Eukaryota; Fungi.